AGUGAACGCUGGCGGUAGGCCUAACACAUGCAAGUCGAACGGCAGCACAGGAGAGCUUGCUCUCUAGGUGGCGAGUGGCGGACAGGUGAGGAAUACAUCGGAAUCUGCCCAGUCGUGGGGGAUAACGUAGGGAAACUUACGCUAAUACCGCAUACGACCUUCGGGUGAAAGAGGGGGAUCGCAAGACCUCUCGCGAUUGGAUGAGCCGAUGUCGGAUUAGCUAGUUAGCGGGGUAAUGGCCCACCAAGGCGACGAUCCGUAGCUGGUCUGAGAGGAUGAUCAGCCACACUGGAACUGAGACACGGUCCAGACUCCUACGGGAGGCAGCAGUGGGGAAUAUUGGACAAUGGGCGCAAGCCUGAUCCAGCCAUACCGCGUGGGUGAAGAAGGCCUUCGGGUUGUAAAGCCCUUUUGUUGGGAAAGAAAUCUUUCAGGCUAAUACCCUGGGAGGAUGACGGUACCCAAAGAAUAAGCACCGGCUAACUUCGUG
Molecule: ribosomal RNA, 490 nt
Filed under: uncultured bacterium
Lineage: Bacteria
Description: partial 16S ribosomal RNA
Rfam family: Bacterial small subunit ribosomal RNA
Source: RNAcentral